This is a long non-coding RNA of Macaca mulatta (Rhesus monkey), 1066 nucleotides long. Lineage: Eukaryota; Metazoa; Chordata; Mammalia; Primates; Cercopithecidae. The record is from Ensembl.
AUGUUUCUCUCCAUAAAUACCAAGCAGAAGCUGGAGGCCUGUGUGCAACAUGUGAGUUUACCCAACUCCGAUCCAACAGCUGGUCACAAGCUAGCGAGAAGAGGAAAACAAAGCGCAUCUAUGACAAAUUCAAGCCUUCAUUUCUCAGCUCUCUUAGAACUCAUAUUUAUUUCCUGGUUUCCAGAAGCUGGGAGUCACCAUGUCAAUGGAGUCGUUUACUUACCUAUCCAAGCCCUGGAGGAGAAGCCUGAGAUCAAUAUGCAUGUAAGAAAAAGGAGAAAUUAACAUCUGUAAGUAUUGAAUCUUUUAUAGAAAUCAUGUUUGUAUUUUUUAAAUUAUAUGUGCUUUUAGAAAUAUUCUCAGUAAAAUUUUAUAACUUUCUUCUUGUAAAUCUUAGAUAUUUUUUCAUAGGUUAGUUUCUAGGUACUUAAAGUGUUUCUUGAUGUCUAAAUGAUGUAGUUUUAAUGAUGUUUUGUCACUGGAAUUUGCAGAUAUAUAAGAAUGUUUUAUUUCUUUCUUAUAUGGUUUUCUCACCAAAACUCUCUUUAUAAAAAUGACUAUUUUUAGAGCAAUUUUUCAGUUUACAGAAAAUCUGGGCAAAAAAGGAAUUCCCAUAACCCCUUCUUCCUUCAAUAUAGUUUCUCCUGUUAUUAACAUUUUAUAUUAAUGUGGAACAUUUGUUACAAUUGAUGAACCAUUAUUGAAACAUUAUUAACUAAAGUUCAUAGUUUACAUUAGUGUUCUUUCUUUGUGUUGUAAAGUUCUAUAUUUUUUUGUUUGUUUUGUUUUUGAGACAGGGUCUCACUUUGUCACCCAGGCUGGAGUUAAGUGAUGCAAUUACAGCUCACUGCAGCCUCAGCUUUCCGGGCUCAAGGGGUCCUCCCGCCUCAGCCUCCUGAGUAGUUGGGAGUACAGGCAUGCGCCACCACACCUGGCUAAUUUUCAUAUUUUUUUGUAUAGUUGGGCUGCCCAGGCUGGUCUCAAACUCCUAGGCUCGAGCAACACCACCCCUUGGCCUCCCAAAAUGCUGGAAUUACAGGAGUGAGCCAUCACACCCAGGAAAAAU